Pogoniulus pusillus (Red-fronted tinkerbird) is the source of this 453-nucleotide long non-coding RNA. RefSeq lists it as uncharacterized. The record is from RefSeq and is a predicted model, not a curated record. The transcript has 3 exons. Lineage: Eukaryota; Metazoa; Chordata; Aves; Piciformes; Lybiidae.
AGGAUGGCCUCCAGCAGAGCUGCUCUCACUGCCGGGGCUCGGGGCAGAUGAGUUGCGUUUUCUGCCACGGGGAGGGCAGGGUGUCCUGUGCCCGCUGUGCCACCAAGGGGCUCUUGCUGUGCUACCUGGAGCUGACCAUCACCUGGAAGAACAGCGUGGCGGAGUACACGGCCGAGGCGGGGCACAGCCUCCCCCCGUGCCGCCUGCGGGAGGCGACAGGCCAGCAGCUCUGCAGCCAGGAGCACCACCGGGUAACCUGCCCCCUGCCAGCAGCCUCUCCGGGCGCACAGGGACGUGGUUCUGGGCUUCCCUUCAGCCACGGAGCCUCUUCGGGUGCAGGGGUGCAGCAGAUGCAGGUGGCAGAGCUUCUGCGGCAGAGUUCAGCAGGCUCAGGGAGCGUGGGAUGGAAGAGCAGGCAGGGAGGUGCCUUAGGAACUGGUUACAAGGCAGAGG